AUCCUUUCGUAGUUCAUAAGCAUGAUGAUUAGGCGUUCACACACGUUCCUGUGUAAGAUGUGCCACCUUCAAAUCUUUUUUUU
Pongo abelii (Sumatran orangutan) is the source of this 83-nucleotide small nucleolar RNA. The record is from Ensembl. Lineage: Eukaryota; Metazoa; Chordata; Mammalia; Primates; Hominidae.